RNAcentral lists this ribosomal RNA (1427 nucleotides) under uncultured bacterium. RNAcentral's name for it is "bacterial SSU rRNA". It matches the Rfam family "Bacterial small subunit ribosomal RNA". The record is from RNAcentral.
CCUAAUACAUGCAAGUCGGACGAGGAUGUUUCCCCUUCCUAGUGGCGAACGGGUGAGUAACACGUAGGGAACCUGCCCCUAAGACGAGGAUAACUACUGGAAACGGUAGCUAAUACUGGAUAGGAUAAGUUGACGCAUGUUGGCUUAUUUAAAGGUGCCUAUAAAGCACCGCUUAGGGAUGGCCCUGCGGCGCAUUAGCUAGUUGGUGGGGUAACGGCCUACCAAGGCGACGAUGCGUAGCUGUGCUGAGAGGCAGAACAGCCACACUGGGACUGAGACACGGCCCAGACUCCUACGGGAGGCAGCAGUAGGGAAUUUUCGGCAAUGGGGGGAACCCUGACCGAGCGAUGCCGCGUGAGUGAUGAAGGUCUUCGGACUGUAAAACUCUGUUAUUAGGGAAGAAUACUAUAGGGAGGAAAUGCCUUAUAGAUGACGGUACCUAAUGAGGAAGCCCCGGCCAACUAUGUGCCAGCAGCCGCGGUAAUACAUAGGGGGCGAGCGUUAUCCGGAAUUACUGGGCGUAAAGGGUGCGUAGGCGGUUUCUUAAGUCUAGUGUGAAAGCCCACGGCUUAACCGUGGAGGGUCAUUAGAAACUGGGAGACUUGAGUACAGCAGAGGUAAGUGGAAUUUCUAGUGGAGCGGUGAAAUGCGUAGAUAUUAGAAGGAACACCAGUGGCGAAGGCGGCUUACUGGGCUGGAACUGACGCUGAGGCACGAAAGCGUGGGGAGCAAACAGGAUUAGAUACCCUGGUAGUCCACGCCGUAAACGAUGAGCACUAAGUAUCGGGUGAGAACUCGGUGCUGUAGUUAACGCAUUAAGUGCUCCGCCUGGGGAGUACGGUCGCAAGACUGAAACUCAAAGGAAUUGACGGGAACUCGCACAAGCGGUGGAGCAUGCGGUUUAAUUCGAUGCAACCCGAAAAACCUUACCAGGUCUUGACAUCCCGCUGACAGGUCUAGAGAUAGACCCUUCCUUCGGGACAGUGGAGACAGGUGGUGCAUGGUUGUCGUCAGCUCGUGUCGUGAGAUGUUGGGUUAAGUCCCGCAACGAGCGCAACCCUCGUCACUAGUUGCUAACAUUAAGUUGAGGACUCUAGUGAGACUGCCGAUGACAAAUCGGAUGAAGGUGAGGAUGACGUCAAAUCAUCAUGCCCCUUAUGACCUGGGCUACACGCGUGCUACAAUGGCCAGUACAAAGAGUUGCGAAGCCGUGAGGUGGAGCUAAUCUCAAAAAGCUGGUCUCAGUUCGGAUUGUAGUCUGCAACUCGACUACAUGAAGGCGGAAUCGCUAGUAAUCGUGAAUCAGCAUGUCACGGUGAAUACGUUCUCGAGUUUUGUACACACCGCCCGUCACACCAUGAGAGUUUGUAAUACCCGAAACCGGUGGCCUAACCCGCAAGGGAGGGAGCCGUCUAAGGUAGGACAGA